UUGGGCGUAAAGAGCUCGUAGGCGGUUUGUCGCGUCUGCUGUGAAAUCCCGAGGCUCAACCUCGGGCCUGCAGUGGGUACGGGCAGACUAGAGUGCGGUAGGGGAGAUUGGAAUUCCUGGUGUAGCGGUGGAAUGCGCAGAUAUCAGGAGGAACACCGAUGGCGAAGGCAGAUCUCUGGGCCGUAACUGACGCUGAGGAGCGAAAGGGUGGGGAGCAAACAGGCUUAGAUACCCUGGUAGUCCACCCCGUAAACGUUGGGAACUAGUUGUGGGGACCAUUCCACGGUUUCCGUGACGCAGCUAACGCAUUAAGUUCCCCGCCUGGGGAGUACGGCCGCAAGGCUAAAACUCAAAGGAAUUGACGGGGACCCGCACAAGCGGCGGAGCAUGCGGAUUAAUUCGAUGCAACGCGAAGAACCUUACCAAGGCUUGACAUACACCAGAACGGGCCAGAAAUGGUCAACUCUUUGGACACUGGUGAACAGGUGGUGCAUGGUUGUCGUCAGCUCGUGUCGUGAGAUGUUGGGUUAAGUCCCGCAACGAGCGCAACCCUCGUUCUAUGUUGCCAGCACGUAAUGGUGGGAACUCAUGGGAUACUGCCGGGGUCAACUCGGAGGAAGGUGGGGAUGA
Molecule: ribosomal RNA, 630 nt
Filed under: uncultured bacterium
Lineage: Bacteria
Description: bacterial SSU rRNA
Rfam family: Bacterial small subunit ribosomal RNA
Source: RNAcentral